RNAcentral lists this ribosomal RNA (837 nucleotides) under uncultured bacterium. RNAcentral's name for it is "bacterial SSU rRNA". It matches the Rfam family "Bacterial small subunit ribosomal RNA", at positions 51 to 878 of the family's 1533-position model. The record is from RNAcentral.
ACACAUGCAAGUCGAGGGGAAACGACAUCGAAAGCUUGCUUUUGAUGGGCGUCGACCGGCGCACGGGUGAGUAACGCGUAUCCAACCUGCCCAUCACUUGGGGAUAACCUUGCGAAAGUAAGACUAAUACCCAAUGACGUCUCUAGAAGACAUCUGAAAGAGAUUAAAGAUUUAUCGGUGAUGGAUGGGGAUGCGUCUGAUUAGCUUGUUGGCGGGGUAACGGCCCACCAAGGCGACGAUCAGUAGGGGUUCUGAGAGGAAGGUCCCCCACAUUGGAACUGAGACACGGUCCAAACUCCUACGGGAGGCAGCAGUGAGGAAUAUUGGUCAAUGGGCGAGAGCCUGAACCAGCCAAGUAGCGUGCAGGAUGACGGCCCUAUGGGUUGUAAACUGCUUUUAUAAGGGAAUAAAGUGAGUCUCGUGAGACUUUUUGCAUGUACCUUAUGAAUAAGGACCGGCUAAUUCCGUGCCAGCAGCCGCGGUAAUACGGAAGGUCCGGGCGUUAUCCGGAUUUAUUGGGUUUAAAGGGAGCGUAGGCCGGAGAUUAAGCGUGUUGUGAAAUGUAGACGCUCAACGUCUGCACUGCAGCGCGAACUGGUUUCCUUGAGUACGCACAAAGUGGGCGGAAUUCGUGGUGUAGCGGUGAAAUGCUUAGAUAUCACGAAGAACUCCGAUUGCGAAGGCAGCUCACUGGAGCGCAACUGACGCUGAAGCUCGAAAGUGCGGGUAUCGAACAGGAUUAGAUACCCUGGUAGUCCGCACGGUAAACGAUGGAUGCCCGCUGUUGGUCUGAAUAGGUCAGCGGCCAAGCGAAAGCAUUAAGCAUCCCACCUGGGG